GGGAAAUCUUACCGGGUCCGGACACACUGAGGAUUGACAGGUGUUUCGUUUUUAGUUUCUUACAUACGUUGGGUUUUAUUUUAUGUGUGUGUAUGCUAUAAAAUGUAUACAUGCAUAUGGGAUAUUAUUCACUUGUAUUAAAUUGUAAAAACAUUUCAAAUAUGCUAGUCCUUUCAUGAUUGUGUGAUAGGUGGUGCAUGGCCGUUCUUAGUUCGUGGAGUGAUCUGUCUGCUUAAUUGCGUUUCACUUACGGUCCACUCAUGUUUUUAUUGCUCUGUGACCUCAUUCCUUUUUAUAGGGAGUGACCGCGUCCGGAGUGAUAUGCAUAGUGAGGCCUCGAAGGCAACGA
RNAcentral lists this ribosomal RNA (349 nucleotides) under Rhabdammina cornuta. Its description in RNAcentral is "bacterial SSU rRNA". It matches the Rfam family "Eukaryotic small subunit ribosomal RNA", at positions 1207 to 1436 of the family's 1831-position model. The record is from RNAcentral. Lineage: Eukaryota; Foraminifera; Astrorhizida; Astrorhizidae.